Molecule: long non-coding RNA, 248 nt
Organism: Oryzias melastigma (Indian medaka)
Lineage: Eukaryota; Metazoa; Chordata; Actinopteri; Beloniformes; Adrianichthyidae
Exons: 2
Source: RefSeq, a predicted model, not a curated record
UCCAUGAGGAUGGUGGAACCCCUGGUUAGGGUGGGCCGCGUGGUGUCUCUGGUUUCUGAACAUUUUCUUUCCAAACAAUCCUUGGAUGCUUGCAAGAGCGGUGGUCUUUGAAUCUCAAAGUUGAUUCUCUCUGGCAAACACCCGCCUUCAAGAACUUUUACGGGUUCCCAGCUGGCGGACCGCGGUCCGGGUCCAGACCCCGAGAACCUUUAUCUGGGCCGCCAAGCAUUUUUAGUAGAAAAAAAAAA